GGUGGUUCCAGCAGUGUUUACCUGGCGCAGGUUACCCCCACACUCAUUAUACAACUCCAUGAACUCUGGGUACUCCCUACAGAGAGAUGAUCUUAACAUCAGAGACGAUAACUCACCCGAAACUGCUAGUCUAAGUGGGGGCGACAUAUAUGGUCGGACACGAUAGUUCAGCCACUGACUAUAGUGGAUCUCUCCUGCAAUGUGUCGUAAACCUUCACUGUCUCCACACAAAGCUGCUAAAUGUAGUGUGACAUCUUCCUCAUCAUCUGCAUCUACCAAGUGGUUCAUCAUAUAGGCUUGUGCAGAGACCUGCUCUGGCAGUGCCAUUAUUUCGGCCAUUCUUCUUCAAGUUGUCCUCCUUAAAGUAAACAUGAAUCGAUGUGUCUUAACAUUAAUCAUAACAUGGAACAUUUGCACAUCAGAAUCUAUUGUAAGACUUUUCUGAAAACCUCAAUAAACAAAAAAAAUCCUUUCACUGCUAUGUUGAAACAAUAAUAAUAAUAAUCACUCAACUUUAAAUUAAUAGCAUUAAUUUGAUAUUUCAAUUUUAUAUAUGAUGUACCUAGGUUGUACUAACAGUAAGGAGGCGUAUCACUUGUCACAACAGGAAAAAGAAAUAGUAUUAACAGACACCGAAUAUGAAAAGGACCUGGCUGUGUAUGUUGACAACGAACUGAAGUUCUCGGGCCAUUGUGAGAAGGUGAAUCAAGCAACUAAACUAGUAGGUCUUAUAAGAAGGUCAUUCAGAUACUGUAUCUAGAUUGUCCGUCCCUUGUAACUCUCUUAAAGAGACAAUCAUAUAAUGUCCAAAGGACAUUAUUACUUUACUUUUAUACUGUUAUCUUCUUUGCCACUGAUCGGCUCGUUAGCCGCUUGGCGAUCGGUCAUGUCUCUGUUACGCACUGUUGGCAAGUACUGGCCAUGCACCAGCUCCUGAAUAUAUUGGAAUCUGCUCCAGUGUUGGUCAAGUCUGGCCUUGAAUGAGCUCACACUCGGAGCUAUCACAACGUCUUUCGCAUUUGAAUUUAUCCUCCGAGCCAUUGAUUGACACUAGCAGGUCGGGCUAAUGUUCAAAAACUAAAACACAUACAAUACUGUACUGUACUCUCUAACCUAGUUUACUUAGACACUGAAGGUUAUGCUUCAAGAACAAACAGCUUAAGAUCAGUUUACUUCAACGGAUGUACUUUUUUUUAUGGGAACUACACCAAUUUGUUUUUAUUGUGUCAGUCACAACUUAACUAAUCUCUCUGGGUAACAGAGAUGUCAUAGAGCAAGCACCAUUCUUUCAACAUUAUCAAUUAACUGGCAGUCUCUGGCAUAGGCUCAUCUCCUAUCAUUAACACAAACUUAACAUGUAAUAAAUUAAACUAUAAUGAACAUGUUCCUGCUACAGUUAAAAGACUCAGAUAAAACUUAUGGAUAAUAUAGACAACUGACCCGUAGAUGA
This is a long non-coding RNA of Homarus americanus (American lobster), 1450 nucleotides long. RefSeq lists it as uncharacterized. The transcript is spliced from 2 exons. The record is from RefSeq and is a predicted model, not a curated record. NCBI's taxonomy places the organism in Eukaryota, Metazoa, Arthropoda, Malacostraca, Decapoda, Nephropidae.